Molecule: ribosomal RNA, 305 nt
Filed under: uncultured bacterium
Lineage: Bacteria
Description: bacterial SSU rRNA
Rfam family: Bacterial small subunit ribosomal RNA
Source: RNAcentral
ACCUACGGGGGGCAGCAGUGGGGGAUAUUGCGCAAUGGGGGAAACCCUGAUGCAGCGACGCCGCGUGAGCGAUGAAGUAUUUCGGUAUGUAAAGCUCUAUCAGCAGGGAAGAAAAUGACGGUACCUGACUAAGAAGCCCCGGCUAACUACGUGCCAGCAGCCGCGGUAAUACGUAGGGGGCAAGCGUUAUCCGGAUUUACUGGGUGUAAAGGGAGCGUAGACGGCAAUGCAAGUCUGAAGUGAAAGGCAAGGGCUCAACCCUUGGACUGCUUUGGAAACUGUGCUGCUGGAGUGUCGGAGAGGCA